UCCUCUCCGUUUCUUCCCCUCGCGCACCCGAUGCCUUUCUUCCCCGUGCCCUCACCUGCGCCUCUCUUCUCCCUCAUUCUCGACCCCGGCGCCGAAAAGCCCUAACCGCUCGGCUGCGGUUUCCUUCUCUUCUCUUUUCUCCCGACGCCGAUCCCACCUCUUCUCCUUCCUCUCGGCGCCGACCACCUAUUCCUCUUCUUCCCGAGGCCGAUCGAUUUCCUCUCCUCUGCCCGACGCCAACUCGAGCCAUUCUUCAUCGAGCGACCGCCGACCGAGCCUGCUUCCAUCUCUUUGCGGACACCAGGGGCCGUCGGAAAUCGAGCAUCUGAACCCUAGGUCUGGUUCCUGGGCGUCGGCCGAAGAUUUCCUUCCUCCUCCGGCCGUGCGAGCACAAGGGAUGCAGAUCCCUUGCCGACAGCCGAUUUCCCUUCAUCUUCCGGCCACUGCUUUGCACUCCUCAGCCUUGUUGCCGGUCACCGUGUUGUUCCUCUGUGCUGUGCCCUAGAUUUUCUUGUUCUGCCGGAUUCAAAACCAGACAGUGGUGAGGGAUCAGUUAUCAGCGGCUGAGGGAAAACGAUUGGCACUAUUGUAGGUACGGCAGAUUUGGUUCCGAUGAUCCCGCUUCGGCGGUGACGCCCUCGGGCCGUAUCCCACCAGCGGUCACUUGAUUGUGAAUUGAGGACUUUGAUUCGAGACGGUGUCUCGACGAGGAUUUAUUCGGAUACGAUCUUUCUUAUU
Molecule: long non-coding RNA, 738 nt
Organism: Zingiber officinale
Lineage: Eukaryota; Viridiplantae; Streptophyta; Magnoliopsida; Zingiberales; Zingiberaceae
Exons: 4
Source: RefSeq, a predicted model, not a curated record